This is an RNA transcript of Gadus macrocephalus (Pacific cod), 5913 nucleotides long. It is a transcript of the gene named NACHT, LRR and PYD domains-containing protein 12-like, with no coding region annotated. Lineage: Eukaryota; Metazoa; Chordata; Actinopteri; Gadiformes; Gadidae. The transcript is spliced from 18 exons. The record is from RefSeq and is a predicted model, not a curated record.
GCUACAGCAUUACUAUACGUUGACUUUGUAUGGAGUCGAAUGCGCCCGUCGCCUGGAACGCGUCUAUACAUUGACUUUGCAUGGAAGUUGCGCCGCCCCUUCGCUUUUGGUGUGAACGCGCCAUUACUUUAGUUUCACUUUUCACAUAAACGAUGUGACGCAGUUAGCUGUGGUUCAAAGCUCUUCCUCUUUCUGAUCUGUCUGCCCUAAGGACCCAAGCAGCUCAAUCUUUACUCUCAGAACCUUUGUUAAUGUCCUGUCUCGCUUCUAAACACUUCUCUGUUAUUUGGUGAACACCUACAUCUCUUUAUUCCCUCCUUUCCUUGCAUUUGUUAUUCUAUAUUUCCAUUCAACACGGGCAGCACACUUUUCGUCACGGAAAAGAUAAGGUCUCCAGUCUACUAUGGAUGAGGAGAGAGAGGAGGGGGCUCCUACCUCUAAAACCACUCUGUCUGGGGAACAUGGCCGCCAGAGCAAAGCUAAGAGCCCAGAGCAGCGGGAGAGAGCAGACUCCCCUGGACCCAGCUGUGUCUCCUUGAAGAGUGACUGGUCUAUGGAUUAUCCGCAUAACUUUAGAGAUGGAAAUCAAUCUAUUGAGAAGAGAAGAGUCCAGAAGGAGAGAGCAGACUCCCCUGGACCCAGCUGUGUCUCCUUGAAGAGCGACCGCUCUAUGGAUCAUCCUCCUAGACUUAAAGAUGGACGCCCCUCCAGAGAGGAGAGGCGACUCCAGGAGAGGUCAAAGGUUACCAGUGCUCAGUCUGUACAGCAGCAUCAAGCAGAGCUGAUGAAGAGGGCUGAGGAGAACGCACACGCUUUUCUAGACAAGGAGCUGAAGAAGCUCUGGAGGGAUCUCUUCUCAAAUUACCCACAAUGCUCAGAGAGUCAGAGGGAGAAGGAGGAGGAGCUGGAUGAUAAGAACGAGGAGCAGAGGAGGCGCGCCAUAGAGGGAGUGGUAGACAUCACAAAGCUCUGCCUGAUGGAGAUGAACCAGGAGGAACUGGCCGACAAGCUGGGGAGUGGAGCUGUUGCGGUCCAGUGGCAACAUGAACUCAAGGCUCAUCUGAAGAAGAAGUUCCACUGUGUGUUUGAGGGAAUCGCUAGAGCCGGAGAGCAGAGACCUCUGAAUGAGAUCUACACAGAGCUCUUCAUCACAGAGAGAGGCAGUGGAGAGGUCAACAAGGAACACGAGGUCAGACUGAUUGAAAAGGCAUCCAGGAAAACUGCCAAUGAGGAAACACCAAUCAGAUGUGAAGACAUCUUUAAACCUGGACAAGAUAAACCAAUCAGAACAAUUAUGACAACCGGAGUGGCCGGCAUUGGUAAAACUCUCUUAACCCACAAGUUCACUCUGGACUGGGCAGAAGGCAAAGCCAACCAAGACAUAGACUUCGCAUUUCUCCUCACUUUCAGAGAGCUGAAUUUACUGAAAGGGAAAGAGUUUAGCUUGCUGGAACUUCUUCAUCAGUUUUCUGUUGAAACCAAAGAAUCAGGAAUCUACAGAUACGACCAUGACCAAGUAGUCUUCAUCUUGGAUGGUCUGGAUGAGUGUCGACUUCCUCUGGACUUCCAGAACAACCCGAUCUGGACGGAUGUCACCAAGCCGACCUCAGUGGAGGUGCUGCUGACAAACAUCAUCAGGGGAGUCCUGCUUCCCUCUGCCCGCAUCUGGAUAACCACACGCCCUGCCGCAGCCAAUCAGAUCCCUGCUGAGUGUGUUCACAUGGUGACAGAGGUGAGAGGGUUCAACGACCCACAGAAGGAGGAGUACUUCAGGAAGAGAUUCAGAGAGGGGACAAUGGCCACCACAAUCAUCUCUCACGUCAAGAAAUCUCGAAGCCUCCACAUCAUGUGUCACAUCCCAGUCUUCUGUUGGAUCACUGCUACAGUUCUAGUGGACUUCUUCAAAACAUCCCAGAGAGGAGAAGAGGUGCCCAAGACCGUGACUCAGAUGUACAGCCACUUCCUGAGGGUUCAGUCCAUACAGGGGGACAGGAAGUAUCAUGGGAGAGCUGAAACUGAUCCGCACUGGAGUUCAGAGAGCAGGGAGAUCAUUGUUUCUCUGGGGAAACUGGCUUUUAACCAGCUGGAGAAAGGCCAGCUGAUCUUCUACGAGGCAGACUUGGCAGAGUGUGACAUCGAUAUCAGAGCAGCCUCAGUGUACUCAGGAGUGUUCACCCAGAUCUUUAAAGAGGAGUGUGGACUGCACCAGGACAGGAUGUUCUGCUUCAUCCAUCUGAGCAUCCAGGAGUUUCUGGCUGCCCUUUAUGUCUUUCUGUCCUACAUCAACACUGGUGUCAACCUGCUCUCAGAAGAACAUCCAACCUCCAGGGAAGCUGAACUCCUCCCCCUCUACCAGAGUGCUGUGGACAAGGCCUUACAGAGUGAGAACGGGCACCUGGACUUGUUCCUCCGCUUCCUCCUGGGCCUCUCUCUAGAGACCAAUCAGAUGCUCCUACAAGGUCUGCUGGGACCAAGAGGAAGUAAAUUACAGGACAAUCUAACAAAAAACGUUCCAUCCGGGCAGACAGGAAGGAGGUCACAAAUCAAUACCCAAAUAGUCCAUUACAUCAAGGAGAAGAUAGGUGGAGAUCUCUCUCAAGAGAGAAGCAUCAAUCUGUUCCACUGUCUGAAUGAACUGAAUGACAGUUCUCUAGUGGAGGAGAUCCAACAGUACCUGUCAUCAGGAAGUCUCUCCACUGAAUCUCUCUCCUCUGCUCAGUGGUCAGCUCUGGUCUUCAUCGUACUGACAUCAGAAGAGCAGCUCGACGUGUUUUACCUGAAGAAAUACUCUGCUUCUGAGGAGGGUCUUCUGGGGCUGCUGCCAUUGGUCAAAGCCUCCAAAACAUCUCUGCUGAACAGCUGUAAGCUGUCAGAGAGAUGCUGUAAUGCUCUGGCCUCAGUUCUCAGCUCCAACUCCUCUAGUCUGAGAGAGCUGGACCUGAGUACCAAUGAACUGCUGAAUUCAGGAGUGAAGCUGCUCUCUGCUGGACUGGGGAGUCCACACUGUACACUGGAAACUCUCAGGCUGAAUUGCUGUGGGCUGUCAAAGGGAUGCUGUAAAGCUCUGGCCUCAGCUCUCAGCUCCAACUCCUCUCGUCUGAGAGAGCUGGACCUGAGUUCCAAUCGUCUGCAGGAUUCAGGAGUGGAGCGGCUCUCUGCUGGACUGGGGAGUCCACACUGUACACUGGAAACUCUCAGGCUGAUUGGCUGUCAUCUGUCAGAGCGAUGCUGUGAAGCUCUGGCCUCAGUUCUCAGCUCCAACUCCUCUAGUCUGAGAGAGCUGGACCUGAGUACAAAUGAUCUGCAGGAUUCAGGAGUGAAGCUGCUCUCUGCUGGACUGGGGAGUCCACACUGUACACUGGAAACUCUCAGGCUGACUGGCUGUCAUCUGUCAGAGAGAUGCUGUGAAGCUCUGGCCUCAGUUCUCAGCUCCAACUCCUCUAGUCUAAAAGAGCUGGACCUGAGUACCAACGAUCUGCAGGAUUCAGGAGUGAAGCUGCUCUCUGCUGGACUGGGGAGUCCACACUGUACACUGGAAACUCUCAGGCUGAAUUGCUGUGGGCUGUCAAAGGGAUGCUGUAAAGCUCUGGCCUCAGCUCUCAGCUCCAACUCCUCUCGUCUGAGAGAGCUGGACCUGAGUUCCAAUCGUCUGCAGGAUUCAGGAGUGGAGCGGCUCUCUGCUGGACUGGGGAGUCCACACUGUACACUGGAAACUCUCAGGCUGAUUGGCUGUCAUCUGUCAGAGCGAUGCUGUGAAGCUCUGGCCUCAGUUCUCAGCUCCAACUCCUCUAGUCUGAGAGAGCUGGACCUGAGUACAAAUGAUCUGCAGGAUUCAGGAGUGAAGCUGCUCUCUGCUGGACUGGGGAGUCCACACUGUACACUGGAAACUCUCAGGCUGACUGGCUGUCAUCUGUCAGAGAGAUGCUGUGAAGCUCUGGCCUCAGUUCUCAGCUCCAACUCCUCUAGUCUAAAAGAGCUGGACCUGAGUACCAACGAUCUGCAGGAUUCAGGAGUGAAGCUGCUCUCUGCUGGACUGGGGAGUCCACACUGUACACUGGAAACUCUCAGGUUGUCUGGCUGCCUGGUCACACAGGAAGGCUGUGCUUCUCUGGCCUCCGCUCUGAGCUCCAACCCCUCCCAUCUGACAGAGCUGGACCUGAGCUACAAUCACCCAGGAGACUCAGGAGCUGCGCUGCUCUCUGCUGGACUGGAGGAUCCACGCUGGAGACUGGACACUCUCAGUGUGGAGCACAGUGGAGUGUGGAGACUGAAACCAGCUCUAAAGAAGUAUGCCUGUGAACUCACACUGGACCCCAACACGGCCCACAGACGACUCUCUCUGUCUGAGGACAGCAGGAAGGUGACGCGGGUUGAAGAGGACCAGUCGUAUCCGGAUCACCCAGAGAGGUUUGACGUCGCGCACCAGGUGUUGUGUAGAGAGGGUCUGCCUGGCCGCUGCUACUGGGAGGUAGAGUGGGGAGGAUGGGUUGAUAUAGGAGUGGCAUACAGAGGAAUGACAAGGAGAGGAGCGGGUAGUGACGGCGUGCUUGGAUGGAACAACAAGUCCUGGUGUCUUGAUUGUGAUGACGACGACGAUGCUGCUGCCUACGUUGCCUUUCACAACGGUAGUAGAACAGACAUACGUCUCCCCCCCCCUCGCUCUAACAGAGUAGGAGUGUAUCUGGACCGGCCCGCUGGCUCUCUGUCCUUCUACAGAGUGUCCCCAGGAGGAGGAGGGUCCUCAGACACACUGACACACAUCCACACCUUCCAGGCCUCCUUCACCCAGGAGGUCCUCCUCCCUGGGGUUGGGUUAGAUAAGAGUGGUUCCUCAGUGUCUCUGUGAGUGUCCAUUGUAGACACACAAACGCACACAGACCCAUUGAAAAGUACACACAUGUAGACAGUCAUAAACACACCCAAACCAACAAUCACAUAUGUACAUAGAAAUUAACACACACGCACACACAAACAAACACAUCGUUCAUGACUCUAUAAACAAACACACACACAAGCACACACAAACAAACACAUCGUACUCUAUAAACACACACACACACACGUACACAGACUUAUUUACACACACACACACACACACACACACACACACACACACACACACACACACACACACACACACACACACACACACACACACACACACGUACACAGACUUAUUUACACAGACAUGCACUCACGCACACACAUCCUUCAUGGAUCUAAACCCACAUCAGGUCUGUGUGCCGGUGGUAAGCAGCAGGUAACAUCAGUGUCUCUCGUGGUUCAUCUCUCAGCCCUCUCUGUGUUCAGCUGGGCUGCUGAGCGUCAGAUUAGAGGGGGCCGCUUGGGUCUGGGGGGUCCUCACAGUCCUGACGUUGUUGAGGACCAGCUGUUAGGGGGACGUUUGAAUACCUGUGGACCCAUGGACGUACCUGUAGUGCAUCGGGUUGUUGAGCAGCAGCUGUUGGUGCUCUGGGGGGUCAACCCGUUCAGUGGAAGUACAACACUUUGUGAUUGAUUUAAAUACUCCACUGAACUCCAAAUGCUGCAUUUUAUUGGGCUUCUGAAAGGUUCAGCGUAAACCAUGAAAGGAAGAUCUUCCUUUGGGUUAAGCCGGUUGUACAAAGAUUUACUUUCUAAUGUAAAAUGUGUUUUAAAUGAAUCCAAAAUCAGUUUAUAUUUUGCCAUGCCUAACAUGGAACGUGAUUUAAAGCAGAUUUAACAACAUAAUCAUGAAUGAUGAUAAGAGUUCUAUGGGAAAGGGUAACAAUUUUGUAAAUUACUUUCAACGGAAGAUCGUUUCUUUGUGUUCUUUUGGGAACAAGUCAACAUGUUCAGUCAUUAAAGAUGCCUUAUGAUUUGUAAUUGUUCAUAAAUCAUAAUGUUAAUAAACUACUCAGUUUGUCAAUUGAA